CAAUAGCGUAUAUUAAAGUUGUUGCGGUUAAAAAGCUCGUAGUUGGAUUUCUGCUGAGGACGAUCGGUCCGCCCUCUGGGUGAGUAUCUGGCUCGGCCUUGGCAUCUUCUUGGAGAACGUUACUGCACUUGACUGUGUGGUGCGGUAUCCAGGACUUUUACUUUGAGGAAAUUAGAGUGUUUCAAGCAGGCGCACGCCUUGAAUACAUUAGCAUGGAAUAAUAAGAUAGGACCUUGGUUCUAUUUUGUUGGUUUCUAGAGCUGAGGUAAUGAUUAAUAGGGAUAGUUGGGGGCAUUCGUAUUUAACUGUCAGAGGUGAAAUUCUUGGAUUUGUUAAAGACGGGCUACUGCGAAAGCAUUUGCCAAGGAUGUUUUCAUUGA
This 380-nucleotide ribosomal RNA is filed under the name uncultured eukaryote. Its description in RNAcentral is "partial 18S ribosomal RNA". It matches the Rfam family "Eukaryotic small subunit ribosomal RNA", at positions 592 to 976 of the family's 1831-position model. The record is from RNAcentral.